UACGGGGGAUGCAAGCGUUAUCCGGAUUUAUUGGGUUUAAAGGGUGCGUAGGCGGUCAGGUAAGUCAGCGGUGAAAUUUAGGGGCUCAACCUCUACCGUGCCGUUGAUACUGUCUGACUAGAAUGCGGAUGCCGUGGGAGGAAUGUGUGGUGUAGCGGUGAAAUGCAUAGAUAUCACACAGAACACCGAUUGCGAAGGCAUCUCACGAAUCCGCAAUUGACGCUGAGGCACGAAAGCGUGGGGAUCAAACAGG
This 253-nucleotide unclassified non-coding RNA is filed under the name uncultured Rikenellaceae bacterium. RNAcentral describes it as "contains 16S-23S intergenic spacer region". It matches the Rfam family "Bacterial small subunit ribosomal RNA", at positions 524 to 776 of the family's 1533-position model. Lineage: Bacteria; Pseudomonadati; Bacteroidota; Bacteroidia; Bacteroidales; Rikenellaceae. The record is from RNAcentral.